This 468-nucleotide ribosomal RNA is filed under the name uncultured bacterium. RNAcentral describes it as "partial 16S ribosomal RNA". It matches the Rfam family "Bacterial small subunit ribosomal RNA", at positions 28 to 507 of the family's 1533-position model. The record is from RNAcentral.
GACGAACGCUGGCGGCGUGCUUAACACAUGCAAGUCGAACGGAAAGGCCCUGCUUUUGUGGGGUGCUCGAGUGGCGAACGGGUGAGUAACACGUGAGUAACCUGCCCUUGACUUUGGGAUAACUUCAGGAAACUGGGGCUAAUACCGGAUAGGAGCUCCUGCUGCAUGGUGGGGGUUGGAAAGUUUCGGCGGUUGGGGAUGGACGCGCGGCUUAUCAGCUUGUUGGGGGGGUAGUUGCUUACCAAGGCUUUGGCGGGUAGCCGGCCUGGGAGGGUGACCGGCCACAAUGCGACUGAGAUACGGCGCAGACUCCUACGUGAGGCAGCAGUGGGGAGUCUUGCACAAUGGGCGGAAGCGUGAUGCAGCAACGCCGCGAUCGGGAUGACCGCUUUCGGGUUGGAAACCGCUUUAGCCUGUGACGAAGCUGGAGUGACGGUAAUGGGUAAAGAAGCACCGGCUAACUACGUG